Molecule: long non-coding RNA, 1519 nt
Filed under: Malus domestica (apple)
Lineage: Eukaryota; Viridiplantae; Streptophyta; Magnoliopsida; Rosales; Rosaceae
Description: long non-coding RNA (MDOM_LNC009688)
Source: RNAcentral
UUUGUGAUUAAUUUAUUGUUUUGAAUUGAUCUACAUGCUAUUGAUUCAAUUUAAAUUUUUUUUGUGUUGAACGUGAUACAACGCAUUGGAGAUGCAAUUCCAGCUUUCUGCGAAUGAUCUUCUACAAAUUCAAAGGCUUUUAUUCUUUUCUGCCAAUCAGGUACGUUUAAAAUAAAGUAAAAUAUUUGAAACGACCUUGAAGCAUGAAAACAUUCCCCAUGAUGCAUGAACCCCCUAUGUUUAUAUUUUCCUUCUGAUAUAUAUAUUGUAUAUGUUCAUAUAUUUGUCAAUAUAAAUAUUUGUUUCAUACAUCGCACAAUUAAAUUUUGUGAGUCAAAUUAUAUAAAAUAAAUUAGAAGCAAAUUUGGGUUUCCUAAACCCUAAGGGAUUUGAAAAAAAAAAGAAAAAAAAAAGGGGAAAUUGGGCAUGGUGCGGCACACCCACCACACCAUCACUGUGCAUACUGAUAACAAGUCUCGGCCUGGGAUCCCAAUGGAUAGGCAUGCAACCCUUUGUCCUUGCAUCGUGGCUCGUAACCACGCAACCAGCCCAGGCUCACAACCUUCAUUCAAGCCCAACUAGUUAGGUGUUUCCCAUGGCAUGCACCACCCUAGAAGGCUGGGCCUUUUUCCCGUAACCCAAACCCGCAUGCCAGCUUUCGCUGGACCUACCCGUGCCACCCCGUAAGACUUUGAGCUUGUUCCGUCUCUAGACCCAUGGCCUACAGCCACCCCACGGGCUGCUCUAGCAGACACCCCAAGGGCUGCUCUAGCAGCCACUCGAGCUUUUUGCUCACUGCACCAAGCCCAAUUAUUUUUAGGGCUCUAUUUUCGAUCUAAUAAUAUUAUUUUAAUAUUAGUUAGCUUCUACAAUCGACCCCGUAUGACCCGAUUUAUUGAAUUAAUUAAGUGACUUGCAGUCCAUUAAUCUGAUAAUGAAUCUAAAAUUAUUAACCUGAAGAUCACUUUUGGACAUUAAUGAUUCAAUAAUUUAUUUUUAUACUUUGAACCGUUGACAUACUUUCAUAGUCCCGAAGCACUCACACUUGAGUUCCUGAAGCAACCCAAAUUCACUACACUUAGUUGUAUAUUGCAUUAUGUGUUCUUGCAGAAACCUCUCUUUUAUGAACUAAACGUUCAUAAACUAAAUUGAACUUGUAGUUUCAAAUUUAGUGCCUUUGAAACCCAAAGAUUUCAUAAAACAAUACACCCAUGAAAACCCGACGUUUUUCAUGAAAACCAUGUCUUGGAACUUGAAUCUUCUAACUUUAAUGCUUAUGGAUGAUUCAUUCCUAUAAUACCAAUCACAAUCUUCUUCCCUCCAUUCAAUGGAUUGUCGUACUGUAACAAGUUCGAUUUUCCUGAUUGAAACGUUUCUAAUAGAAACCAUUCAAUGUGGGGUACAAGAAGUGAAUCUCCACUUGACUAUCAAGAAGCUGAGAACCAUUGAAGUCAACAAUGGCAUAGAAAAGCUGAAUAAGCCUAAACCAUGAUCUUCAUUCAAAGACUUAUGCUCAAAU